CUUGCCAUUAACACUUUUUUCUGUCAAAUUAAUCAGGACAAAGUCAGCUUGUUUUACGUGUUUGUCUCAAAUUCAAAGUUAACACGCAUGACGUCAGGCGCGGCGCCAACUCGCAAACGGUAACAUGCUAGAGCUCUUUGCCUGUUGCUGGGGUACUUUAGACAGCUCGGCUUUUGAUUGGUGCAUUCACAAGUAGCGCAAACGUGAUUGGUUGUUGUACUGACACUUGACAAAACCGACCGUUUCCAGAAAUUUCUCCUCUGGUCCCAGCAGGACAUUAUUCUGCCGACAACCAGGACCUGCUAAUGAAGUUAGGUGAGGCAGGUGUAAUGGUGACUGAAGUCGAAGCCCAGAGAUUCAGAGGUAACAGCAGUGUAAUGGUUCUCAAUCUGGCUUGAGGGGAAUCCCUACUGUCUAAACUCUACCUGGAAGCAAGACAAGAGGCUCUCACAGAGGAUCUACCAGAUAUCGACUUCAGAGCAACCCUCAUCUUUCUGCCACACAUCUUCGAGGAGAACAUUAAGUGCUUUAUUACUCUUGGAAAGUUCCUGCCACUCCAUACCCAACUAUCCAGUUGAUGGAUGAAGACUUGAAAAUGGCCUUCACUAGGAGAGCUCCGAACGUUGUGAAAGUGGACGGCAUCGAGUCACAACUCAGCAAUUGACGAGGGGAUAUUUUGGCAAAUCAAGUACAUUUUGAACAUCGAUACCUUGUGGAUUCUUUGUGGUAAAAUGUUGGUUCCUUUAAUGCAUAGAGUGUAAAGGUUGAUUGAGAAUGGACUUUACUAAAACCAGGUGAUGAAAUGGACUACCGAAUAUUUGACACUUAUUCUGUGGAUAACAGUUUUAUGUCACACUUCAACAUAGUAUUUAAAAAUGUACAAAAUUGACAAGAUCAUGUGAAAAUCUUCUGUCAUGAGUGUUAUUUUCAUUUAUGCAGUUUUACGGUUGGCGGAGAAUGGACUUGCUUGUUCUCAUUAGUCUCUAUGGGACAGUUUGUUGGAGUUGCUGUCACAUUCAGGCUCACUGAGCCAAAUCUGUAUAUCCGAUUGAUAUGAGAGUAAGAUGUCUGUGACCAGCAAAAACUUCUCUACAAUCUGCCCCAAAAUGAUUUAUGAAGAGUGAAAGUUGCAAGACCCAGCACAGGUUUUCUGUUUGGUUUUUGUUUGAUUUUUAACAUUUUUUUUUUUUGUUUGUUUUUUUUUAACAGUGGAUUUGGGAAAACCGUGCAAGUGAUCAAAAUACCCAAUUCACCCAAUAUAGUCAGGAGUCAUGUAACCAGUUUAGAGUGUUUGAGCUCCAUUCAUUCCAAUGGGACAUUUUAGAGCUGUCUACCAUCGCUGCAGGGCUUGUAAACUACAGAGAUGAAAAUACAUAAAUAUGUUCAGGAGAGCCUUUACUUUCUGAUGAGCAUACUAUUCUGUUGUUAGGACUCACAGUUUGAGAGAUGCACUCUAUAUUAAAUGACCUCACUCAGCUGAUAGAUAUUAACUGAUAAUGUUCAAAAUAAAAGCCCCACAAAGUUACUAUAUCUAUCUAUCUAUCUAUAUCUAUAUCUAACAGUUAACUAGAAUAAAAGCCAGAGAGGUCACUGUAGCCUAACAGGAAACCCAGAACAAGGCUGUUUUCAAAAUAAAAGCCCAUAUAGAAAAAUGUGGGCAACCAGAUCGUCACUUACUAUUAACUCAUUUUGAUCAACAUUUUUUUUAAAGCUAUAUGCUUAGGGGCUAUUCAGAGUGUUACAUUUUAUGUAUGUAUGUUUUUAUGUAUAUUUUUUCGGGUAAACCUGAGCACCAGGAGAAAACUCUACAUGAGAUUGUGACUUACUAUUAACUAAUUUUGAUCGUUUUUUUUAAAGAUAUAUACUUAGGGGCUAUUCAGAGUGUUAAAUUAGCCUUUUUAUGAAUAUAUUUUCGGGUAAACCUGAGCACCCAGGAGAAAACCCUAAUUUUGAUCAAGGUUUUUUUUAAAGAUAUUAUAUACUACAUGUAUAUAUUUCGGGGAAACCUUAUAACCACAUGUACCUGUUGGAGGGGGUGACAUAGAUGGAGGGGAGGGGGAGAUGGAAGAGGAAGAGGGAGCUACUGAUGUCCAGCCUGAGCUGAACAACCAGCAGCGACCUCCUCAACCACCUUAUUGUCAGCUUCACACUUGUUCUUGUGUAUCCAGCCAACAAACCCAUUCUUCUCAGCCUUCUCCUUCUCUUUAAGUUCCUUCUGCUGCAUUUUGCUUUUUAUCUUCUGCAGCUCCUCCUCUCUGUUGUCGGGAUUAUUCUUGCGAAACAAGAAGCAUUUCCUCUUCCUGUUCAAGUUCAGACAACAGUCCUCCAAUUCCUUCUUUUCAUCAUUCCAUUCCUUCUUGUCGUUCUCCUUCAUCACCAAUCUCUCCUCAAGUUCUCUCUUCUCCUCUGAUAUCUUGGUGAAUUCGGUCUCACUGUGAAGGAGUUCAGCUCGUACAAUGUUCAACAUGUUAUUGGUCUGUUGGAGCUGCUGAGAGAGAGACUCCUUCUCCUUGCAGAGACUCAGGAUGUCAGUGUCCCUCUGGAGGACAUGUUCCUCCAUCUGGUUCACCUUCUCCUUAAAUUCAACCUGCAGAGACUCAAUGUUUCUAGAACUCUCCUCCAGUCUCUCUCUCUCCUGGUCAAACUGCUCUGCUUUCAUCUCCCAGCUUUGUUUUUUCUCAGCUAGGUCAUUUGAGAGCAGCUGGAUUUCAGCAUCCUUCUCCUGAACAAGUCCCUCCAGCUCCGAGACCUGCUCUUGAUGUUGAGUUUGCAGCGUCAUAAAGCCUUGUUGUGUCUCUACAAGGUCUCUGGCGUUCAAGGCUUCCAAGGCAUUGUACUUCACUUCCCAGACUGUUUCAUUCCUCCCCUGGUCUUUGAUGCUACGCUCAAGCUUUCUCUUUUCCUCUGUCAUCUUGGUGACUUUGGACUUCCAGCUCCGUUGUUGUUCGGCUAGGUCUUUUUCAAACUUGUCCUGCAGGGCUUUGUACUUGGCCUCCCAAGCUUUGUCACAUUGGACAAGUUCAGCAUCUUUGCUCUCUAGCUGGAUUCUGGUGGUGGUGACGACCUGAAACAUACGCUCCUUCCUACUGGUGAGCACCUCGAUGUCAGCCCCCAUCUCCUCAAUCUGUGCCUUCAUCUCAGUGAUCUGACCCGGCAGACAUUUCUCAUCCAGGCCUUUGGUGGACUCCAAAGCUCUGUUCUUGUCCUCCAAAGCUUUGUACUUGGCCUCCCAAGCCUUGUUGCUGUUACUUAUUAUCUGAUUCAGAGUGUCAUUUUUCUUGCUGAGCUCUUGGAUCUCAGCGUCCUUCUUAAGGAGUUGAGUCUGCAGCUGGACCACCUUACUCUCAGUAUGAGGCUCUUCAGCACUUGGGCCGGCAACUGUGGCCGUAAACACAAACAUCCCCUUGUUCUGGUCAGAGAGUUUUUUCUUCAAGUCCUCAUACUUGGUGAGAAUCCUCUGGAAUUCCUGCUGGCUUAGGAGCUGAGCUGCUUGCGUCUUUUCCUCCUGGAGUACGUUGAGUGCCUCCAGAAGUUUAAUUCUGUCCUUGAACCUGCGCACCUCGUGAUAGUAAUCGCCUCUUUCUAUCACGCCUCCACUGUUAAACAAUUCCUUUUCCAACGUUUGACUGUGGACCUGUGCCUGAGCAGGGUCCAAGUCAGUUUGAGGAGUGGGAGUGUUUGGGGGAAGUGGGGGACAGCUCUGACGACCACCGUUUGUUGGGUUGUUUCUUAUAUCCAUGGCUCUGUUUGUAGCAGAUGUGGGUUGUAUGAGAUUGUCUGUGUUGUGGACAGAAGGUGACUGUAAUACAACAAGUAUUAGUAUUAAUAUUAGUGAAGAACUAAUAAUAGUGUACUAAUACUGGUAUUACUAGUUAAAUUCUGUAACAGUGUUUUUGUGUGUGAGCAAAAUUUUGUAAGACUUGCUAAUGUCAGUGAAAGAUCUCGAUA
This is a long non-coding RNA of Centropristis striata (black sea bass), 3948 nucleotides long. RefSeq lists it as uncharacterized. The transcript has 4 exons. The record is from RefSeq and is a predicted model, not a curated record. NCBI's taxonomy places the organism in Eukaryota, Metazoa, Chordata, Actinopteri, Perciformes, Serranidae.